This is a ribosomal RNA of 340 nucleotides. It matches the Rfam family "Microsporidia small subunit ribosomal RNA", at positions 752 to 1210 of the family's 1311-position model.
UGGACAGUAUUAUUAAUGAAAUUUAACGGAUUUGGCGGCAAGAUAGCCACUUAGAGGAACCUGCCCUGUAAACGAUGAGCCACGAUUAACCUUACUUUUACUAGAAUCCAGUUUGUAUACCGCUGUUGUCAGUUAGUUUCUUUAGAAAACUUUCGUACAUGAUAAAUUCAAUGACUUCAAGUAAAGGUGCAGCUUAUGUAAAAGAUAGAGGUGGGUUACAAUUAAAAGGAUAAUAUGGAUAAAGUAAAGAAAAAACUUUUGAAGGUGGAUUUAAUAGUAAAGUUUAAUAAGACUUGAUUAGAGCUCUAUCUUGUGUACACACCGCCCGUCGCUCGCGGGA